Molecule: transfer RNA, 72 nt
Filed under: Lepisosteus oculatus (spotted gar)
Lineage: Eukaryota; Metazoa; Chordata; Actinopteri; Semionotiformes; Lepisosteidae
Rfam family: tRNA
About the family: Transfer RNA (tRNA) molecules are approximately 80 nucleotides in length. Their secondary structure includes four short double-helical elements and three loops (D, anti-codon, and T loops). Further hydrogen bonds mediate the characteristic L-shaped molecular structure. tRNAs have two regions of fundamental functional importance: the anti-codon, which is responsible for specific mRNA codon recognition, and the 3' end, to which the tRNAs corresponding amino acid is attached (by aminoacyl-tRNA synthetases). tRNAs cope with the degeneracy of the genetic code in two manners: having more than one tRNA (with a specific anti-codon) for a particular amino acid; and 'wobble' base-pairing, i.e. permitting non-standard base-pairing at the 3rd anti-codon position.
Source: Rfam by way of RNAcentral
UCCCUGCUGGUCUAGUGGUUAGGGUUCGGCGCUCUCACCGCUGCGGCCCGGGUUCGAUUCCCGGUCAGGGAA